CCUACGGGUGGCAGCAGUGAGGAAUAUUGCUCAAUGGACGCAAGUCUGACCCAGCCAAGUCGCGUGAAUGAAGACUGCCCUCUGGGUUGUAAACUCCUUUUAUAAAGGAAUAAAAAGAGGCACGUGUGCCUUUUGGCAUGUACUUUAUGAAUAAGGAUCGGCUAACUCAGUGCCAGCAGCCGCGGUACUACGGAGGAUCCGAGCGUUAUCCGGAUUUAUUGGGUUUAAAGGGAGCGUAGAUGGGUUGUUAAGUCAGUUGUGAAAGUUUGCGGCUCAACCGUAAAAUUGCAAUUGAUACUGGCAGUCUUGAGUACAGUUGAGGUAGGCGGAAUUCGUGGUGUAGCGGUGAAAUGCUUAGAUAUCACGAAGAACCCCGAUUGCGAAGGCAGCUUACUAAACUGUGACUGACAUUGAUGCUCGAAAGUGUGGGUAUCAAACAGGAUUAGAUACCCCUGUAGUC
Molecule: ribosomal RNA, 460 nt
Filed under: uncultured bacterium
Lineage: Bacteria
Description: partial 16S ribosomal RNA
Rfam family: Bacterial small subunit ribosomal RNA
Source: RNAcentral